AAAAGUUUUGGCAAUGAUACCGUAAGAAAGUAAAUCAAAAAUACAUUAAAAAAAAGGUUGUGAUUUUUCGAUUAAAUCAAUUUUUCAGGUAAAAACCGUCGACUGUAUUUUAAUAAAAUAGUGAAAUUGUGAAAUUGUACGUUUUCUUACGUUUUUUCCCACUUAAAUGUGUUUAUUUAAAAAAUGGCGUCGAAAAUCAAAAAAAAAAAAACGACCCGUUUUAAGUACAAUUUCAACAGCUUGAACUUUUAGAAAAGACGCUACACGUAAAUCGGAGCAAGUUUACUAGGA
Molecule: non-coding RNA, 291 nt
Organism: Cinara cedri
Lineage: Eukaryota; Metazoa; Arthropoda; Insecta; Hemiptera; Aphididae
Source: the annotation of a GenBank genome assembly